Molecule: ribosomal RNA, 262 nt
Filed under: uncultured bacterium
Lineage: Bacteria
Description: partial 16S ribosomal RNA
Rfam family: Bacterial small subunit ribosomal RNA
Source: RNAcentral
GUCCACGCCGUAAACGGUGGGCGCUAGGUGUGGGUUCCUUCCACGGGAUCUGUGCCGUAGCUAACGCAUUAAGCGCCCCGCCUGGGGAGUACGGCCGCAAGGCUAAAACUCAAAGGAAUUGACGGGGGCCCGCACAAGCGGCGGAGCAUGUGGAUUAAUUCGAUGCAACGCGAAGAACCUUACCUGGGUUUGACAUAUACUGGAAAGCUGCAGAGAUGUAGCCCCCCUUGUGGCCGGUAUACAGGUGGUGCAUGGCUGUCGU